Molecule: ribosomal RNA, 440 nt
Filed under: uncultured bacterium
Lineage: Bacteria
Description: partial 16S ribosomal RNA
Rfam family: Bacterial small subunit ribosomal RNA
Source: RNAcentral
CCUACGGGGAGCAGCAGUGGGGAAUAUUGGACAAUGGGGGGAACCCUGAUCCAGCGACGCCGCGUGAGUGAAGAAGUAUUUCGGUAUGUAAAGCUCUAUCAGCAGGGAAGAAAAUGACGGUACCUGACUACGAAGCCCCGGCUAACUACGUGCCAGCAGCCGCGGUAGUACGUAGGGGGCAAGCGUUAUCCGGAUUUACUGGGUGUAAAGGGAGCGUAGACGGUGCAGCAAGUCUGAUGUGAAAGGUCGGGGCCCAACCCCGGGACUGCAUUGGAAACGGUUGAACUGGAGUACAGGAGGGGCAGGCGGAAGUCCUAGUGUAGCGGUGAAAUGCGUAGAUAUUAGGAGGAACACCGGUGGCGAAGGCGGCCUGCUGGACUGUGACUGACGUUGAGGCCCGAAGGCGUGGGGAGCAAACAGGAUUAGAUACCCCUGUAGUC